GCUUGCUCUCGGGUGACGAGCGGCGGACGGGUGAGUAAUGUCUGGGAAACUGCCUGAUGGAGGGGGAUAACUACUGGAAACGGUAGCUAAUACCGCAUAAUGUCGCAAGACCAAAGUGGGGGACCUUCGGGCCUCAUGCCAUCAGAUGUGCCCAGAUGGGAUUAGCUAGUAGGUGGGGUAACGGCUCACCUAGGCGACGAUCCCUAGCUGGUCUGAGAGGAUGACCAGCCACACUGGAACUGAGACACGGUCCAGACUCCUACGGGAGGCAGCAGUGGGGAAUAUUGCACAAUGGGCGCAAGCCUGAUGCAGCCAUGCCGCGUGUGUGAAGAAGGCCUUCGGGUUGUAAAGCACUUUCAGCGGGGAGGAAGGCGUUAAGGUUAAUAACCUUGGCGAUUGACGUUACCCGCAGAAGAAGCACCGGCUAACUCCGUGCCAGCAGCCGCGGUAAUACGGAGGGUGCAAGCGUUAAUCGGAAUUACUGGGCGUAAAGCGCACGCAGGCGGUCUGUCAAGUCGGAUGUGAAAUCCCCGGGCUCAACCUGGGAACUGCAUUCGAAACUGGCAGGCUAGAGUCUUGUAGAGGGGGGUAGAAUUCCAGGUGUAGCGGUGAAAUGCGUAGAGAUCUGGAGGAAUACCGGUGGCGAAGGCGGCCCCCUGGACAAAGACUGACGCUCAGGUGCGAAAGCGUGGGGAGCAAACAGGAUUAGAUACCCUGGUAGUCCACGCCGUAAACGAUGUCGAUUUGGAGGUUGUGCCCUUGAGGCGUGGCUUCCGGAGCUAACGCGUUAAAUCGACCGCCUGGGGAGUACGGCCGCAAGGUUAAAACUCAAAUGAAUUGACGGGGGCCCGCACAAGCGGUGGAGCAUGUGGUUUAAUUCGAUGCAACGCGAAGAACCUUACCUGGUCUUGACAUCCACAGAACUUUCCAGAGAUGGAUUGGUGCCUUCGGGAACUGUGAGACAGGUGCUGCAUGGCUGUCGUCAGCUCGUGUUGUGAAAUGUUGGGUUAAGUCCCGCAACGAGCGCAACCCUUAUCCUUUGUUGCCAGCGGUCCGGCCGGGAACUCAAAGGAGACUGCCAGUGAUAAACUGGAGGAAGGUGGGGAUGACGUCAAGUCAUCAUGGCCCUUACGACCAGGGCUUUACACGGGGUACAAUGCAUAUACAAAGAGAAGCGACCUCGCGAGAGCAAGCGGACCUCAUAAAGUAUGUCGUAGUCCGGAUUGGAGUCUGCAACUCGACUCCAUGAAGUCGGAAUCGCUAGUAAUCGUAGAUCAGAAUG
This 1282-nucleotide ribosomal RNA is filed under the name Klebsiella sp. F1. Its description in RNAcentral is "bacterial SSU rRNA". It matches the Rfam family "Bacterial small subunit ribosomal RNA", at positions 74 to 1356 of the family's 1533-position model. Lineage: Bacteria; Pseudomonadati; Pseudomonadota; Gammaproteobacteria; Enterobacterales; Enterobacteriaceae. The record is from RNAcentral.